This 492-nucleotide ribosomal RNA is filed under the name uncultured bacterium. RNAcentral describes it as "partial 16S ribosomal RNA". It matches the Rfam family "Bacterial small subunit ribosomal RNA", at positions 29 to 507 of the family's 1533-position model. The record is from RNAcentral.
AGUGAACGCUGGCGGUAGGCCUAACACAUGCAAGUCGAACGGCAGCACAGUAAGAGCUUGCUCUUACGGGUGGCGAGUGGCGGACGGGUGAGGAAUACAUCGGAAUCUACCUUUUCGUGGGGGAUAACGUAGGGAAACUUACGCUAAUACCGCAUACGACCUACGGGUGAAAGCAGGGGAUCUUCGGACCUUGCGCGAUUGAAUGAGCCGAUGUCGGAUUAGCUAGUUGGCGGGGUAAAGGCCCACCAAGGCGACGAUCCGUAGCUGGUCUGAGAGGAUGACCAGCCACACUGGAACUGAGACACGGUCCAGACUCCUACGGGAGGCAGCAGUGGGGAAUAUUGGACAAUGGGCGCAAGCCUGAUCCAGCCAUACCGCGUGGGUGAAGAAGGCCUUCGGGUUGUAAAGCCCUUUUGUUGGGAAAGAAAAGCAGCAGGUUAAUACCCCGCUGUUCUGACGGUACCCAAAGAAUAAGCACCGGCUAACUUCGUG